AACGCCUCUUCCUUUAAUUACCGAAAGCUUAUUCCAAGAAGAAAGAUCUGUUUGAAAUAGCAAAUGGUAUUUUGAUCGUCAGAGCAGAGAGUUGGACUUACCUGAAGACUUACCUUCAUUCUAAGCAGUGCUCCCUGGGAGGCUGCUUCUACACCUAAAUGCAGCUGUGAUGGAGUCCUGAGAGCUUCACUCCUGGAUCUAGGCCUUGGGGAUUCACCCCUGGGACUGACCCACUGGCCUCCCUGCAAACGUGGCAGUUCACAGAGUCUGGCCUCUGCUGCACUGGUUACCUGUGACCCCCAGGAACAAACAGGACACAUUUUUCUCCAGAAGCAAUAAGAGUAUUUUUCAAUGCUGCCUUUGCCACCAUUGCCAUCCCAGCUGGCAACACCUGGAAAAUUCCAUGGCCAGGUGUGCAUCCCUGGGUUGCAGGUAACAGAGAUACACAGAUACAGGUAACAGAGAUACUUGACCCUCCUGCCUUCUCCUUAGAGCAGAGAGAGCUUUUGGGUGGCUGGGUCCUGGUCUCCCUCCCCAAUCUUCCUGUCAGUCCUCUCUUAGUGCUUCACCCCUUGGUAGGGGCAUCUGGCACCGGCUCUCUGCAGCCCCUGCUGCCAGCCAGAGCAGGGGGACAGCGCUGCCCCAGCACGGUCCCUGUGGGUACCAGCACAGGGUCUGUGCCAGCCCCACAGGCAAUGGAAGCCCAGAGGCACCUCGAGGUGCUCGGCAGUGCUUUCCUCACCUGCAGCAGCUCCACUGAAGGGAGGUGUAGGGAAUGCUGGGCUCCUGGAUGGCUUCGAUGAAUGGAGACCAGAGAUCUCUGAAGGCUGCUCUUAGAAUAUAGG
Taeniopygia guttata (zebra finch) is the source of this 845-nucleotide non-coding RNA. Lineage: Eukaryota; Metazoa; Chordata; Aves; Passeriformes; Estrildidae. The record is from RefSeq and is a predicted model, not a curated record.